Molecule: ribosomal RNA, 253 nt
Filed under: uncultured bacterium
Lineage: Bacteria
Description: partial 16S ribosomal RNA
Rfam family: Bacterial small subunit ribosomal RNA
Source: RNAcentral
UACGUAGGGGGCAAGCGUUGUCCGGAAUCAUUGGGCGUAAAGAGCGUGUGGGCGGCCCGGUAAGUCCGCUGUGAAAGUCCAGGGCUCAACCCUGGGAUGCCGGUGGAUACUGUCGGGCUCGAGUCCGGAAGAGGAGUGUGGAAUUCCUGGUGUAGCGGUGAAAUGCGCAGAUAUCAGGAGGAACACCCGUGGCGAAGGCGGCUCUCUGGGACGGUACUGACGCUGAGACGCGAAAGCGUGGGGAGCGAACAGG